CUGAUCAGAAAGUCUGUGUAUAAAGCUACAGGUAUCAACUUAAACAAGGCUCUAUCACUAUCAAGAUCAGGAAAAUGUGGUUUCUGAUAUUAUUAGCUGCCUUGCCUCCCUUAUCAGUGGAUGCUAAAGAUCAUCCCCAACUACCUCCAUUACGAAACACAUACGAGGUACACAUUGAGAUGACGUCAGCCAGAGAGAAAAGGACC
Long non-coding RNA from Haliotis rubra (blacklip abalone), 206 nucleotides. RefSeq lists it as uncharacterized. NCBI's taxonomy places the organism in Eukaryota, Metazoa, Mollusca, Gastropoda, Lepetellida, Haliotidae. The record is from RefSeq and is a predicted model, not a curated record. The transcript has 3 exons.